RNAcentral lists this ribosomal RNA (253 nucleotides) under uncultured bacterium. RNAcentral's name for it is "partial 16S ribosomal RNA". It matches the Rfam family "Bacterial small subunit ribosomal RNA", at positions 524 to 776 of the family's 1533-position model. The record is from RNAcentral.
AACGUAGGGGGCGAGCGUUAUCCGGAUUUACUGGGCGUAAAGCGCACGUAGGCGGCAUCGUAAGUUGGGCGUUAAAGCUCCUGGCUUAACUGGGAGAGGUCGUUCAAUACUGCGGUGCUUGAGGUUGAAAGAGGAGAGCGGAAUUCCCGGUGUAGUGGUGGAAUGCGUAGAUAUCGGGAGGAACACCAGUGGCGAAAGCGGCUCUCUGGUUCACACCUGACGCUGAGGUGCGAAAGCGUGGGGAGCGAACGGG